This 197-nucleotide ribosomal RNA is filed under the name uncultured bacterium. RNAcentral describes it as "partial 16S ribosomal RNA". It matches the Rfam family "Bacterial small subunit ribosomal RNA", at positions 1304 to 1500 of the family's 1533-position model. The record is from RNAcentral.
GCUGCAACUCGCCUGCAUGAAGCUGGAAUUGCUAGUAAUCGCGGAUCAGCAUGCCGCGGUGAAUACGUUCCCGGGCCUUGUACACACCGCCCGUCACACCAUGGGAGUCGGAAAUGCCCGAAGCCGGUGACCCAACCAAAAGGAGGGAGCCGUCGAAGGCAGGUCUGAUAACUGGGGUGAAGUCGUAACAAGGUACC